Cimex lectularius (bed bug) is the source of this 444-nucleotide long non-coding RNA. RefSeq lists it as uncharacterized. Lineage: Eukaryota; Metazoa; Arthropoda; Insecta; Hemiptera; Cimicidae. The record is from RefSeq and is a predicted model, not a curated record. The transcript has 2 exons.
UUAUCUAUAUCCUAGUCGUUCCGACUUCUAUUCUUAAAUUUUUCCACAAUGUCACUUGCACGUUCAGCGCUCAGAUUGGCCAGUAGUAGUCGACAGUUUACAACAUCAGGAGCAGUCCGUGCGGAGUCCGGCAAAGUCCACCCUGGCUACCAACGAAUAAAGCCAUUACAGGAACGUUUCAUCAUUGAGGAUGGCAUUCCUGUCUACGUUAAAGGAGGUGCUAUAGAUAACGUUCUUACCAAACUUACUGUGGUACUGUGUAUUGGAGCUAUGGCAUGCGAACUCAAGUAUAUCUAUGAAACCUUCAUUAAAGUUUAAUUUUAAAAAACAGGAAUCAUCUACUAGACAGUAUGUGUAGUAUGUAAUGAUGCAUUCUAUUUGUAUUUUUGUUUGAGAUUGUACUAUAAUAAAUCAGAGCAUUGCAAAUAAAAUAGUGAAAACAUU